This 307-nucleotide ribosomal RNA is filed under the name uncultured bacterium. RNAcentral describes it as "bacterial SSU rRNA". It matches the Rfam family "Bacterial small subunit ribosomal RNA", at positions 34 to 335 of the family's 1533-position model. The record is from RNAcentral. RNAcentral also lists the same sequence under 1 other name.
CGCUAGCGACAGGCCUAACACAUGCAAGUCGAGGGGCAGCACGGUGUAGCAAUACAUGGGUGGCGACCGGCGCACGGGUGAGUAACGCGUAUGCAACCUACCUACUACAAGAGGAUAACCCGUUGAAAGGCGGACUAAGACUCUAUAAUACAGGGGAUCCGCAUGGAUAUAUUUGUUAAAGAUAAAGCGGUAGUAGAUGGGCAUGCGUUCCAUUAGCUUGUUGGUGAGGUAACGGCUCACCAAGGCAACGAUGGAUAGGGGAACUGAGAGGUUGGUCCCCCACACUGGAACUGAGACACGGUCCAGA